AUUGAACGCUGGCGGCAUGCCUUACACAUGCAAGUCGAACGGCAGCACGGGUGCUUGCACCUGGUGGCGAGUGGCGAACGGGUGAGUAAUACAUCGGAACGUACCUUAUCGUGGGGGAUGACGCAGCGAAAGCUGUGCUAAUACCGCAUACGCCCUGAGGGGGAAAGCGGGGGAUCGCAAGACCUCGCGCGAUUAGAGCGGCCGAUGCCUGAUUAGCUUGUUGGUGGGGUAAAGGCUCACCAAGGCGACGAUCUGUAGCGGGUCUGAGAGGAUGAUCCGCCACACUGGGACUGAGACACGGCCCAGACUCCUACGGGAGGCAGCAGUGGGGAAUUUUGGACAAUGGGGGCAACCCUGAUCCAGCCAUGCCGCGUGAGUGAAGAAGGCCUUCGGGUUGUAAACUGCUUUUGUACGGAGCGAAAAGGCUCUCUCUAAUACAGGGGGCUCAUGACGGUACCGUAAGAAUAAGCACCGGCUAACUACGUGCCAGCCGCCGCAGUAA
RNAcentral lists this ribosomal RNA (502 nucleotides) under uncultured bacterium. RNAcentral describes it as "partial 16S ribosomal RNA". It matches the Rfam family "Bacterial small subunit ribosomal RNA", at positions 30 to 523 of the family's 1533-position model. The record is from RNAcentral.